RNAcentral lists this unclassified non-coding RNA (475 nucleotides) under Bombus terrestris (buff-tailed bumblebee). RNAcentral describes it as "misc RNA ENSBTSG00005027172.1". The record is from RNAcentral. Lineage: Eukaryota; Metazoa; Arthropoda; Insecta; Hymenoptera; Apidae.
GCAUUACGUAGUUUUAUACGACUUUAUACGCGUCGUGAACUUUUUCGUAUAUUUUUGUGCGUUUCCGUAUGUUAUUUUCAAUAUAUUUACGCGUAUGUUUCGCAAUGCAUUUCCAGAAUCCUUGAAUUUUGUAUGCUGUCCUCGGUACGCGUAUUGCUGCAAGAGAAUCGAACGACCACGGUCGAGUUUCCGUUUCACGAACUCGUAACUGACCACCGGUUUCCUUCCCACCCACUGGAGAACAAGCGCGGAAGAAUUAAGGGGACGAAGUGACGUCGAGACACAAUGGGUUCUCGUUGCGGCCAGAGAAGUCCGAGAAAAAGGAAACUUCACGGGAACCAGAAAUGACGGAAUAGCUCGCGGAAACCGUUUGUUUGUGUAUGUAUAUACGCCUUUCAUCAAGGAAAAGGUGAAAUCUCUAAAAAUUUCUAAAGAAUAAUACAGUCCAAGAGUCUCAUAAUUCAUUGAAAGAGAA